This 329-nucleotide RNase P RNA is filed under the name Ramlibacter sp. RNAcentral describes it as "RNase P RNA component class A". It matches the Rfam family "Bacterial RNase P class A". From Rfam's summary of the family: Ribonuclease P (RNase P) is a ubiquitous endoribonuclease, found in archaea, bacteria and eukarya as well as chloroplasts and mitochondria. Its best characterised activity is the generation of mature 5'-ends of tRNAs by cleaving the 5'-leader elements of precursor-tRNAs. Cellular RNase Ps are ribonucleoproteins. Lineage: Bacteria; Pseudomonadati; Pseudomonadota; Betaproteobacteria; Burkholderiales; Comamonadaceae. The record is from RNAcentral.
GAAGCCCGCCAGACCGCCGCUGGUGCAAUCUGGGAAACCAGGCACUGGAGGAACGUCCGGACUGCACAGGGCAGCGUAGCAGGUAACUCCUGUCCACCGUGAGGUGAGGAUCAGAGCAACAGAGACGAGCCGAUUUAGUUCGGGUGAAACGGGCAAUCUCUACGCGCAGCAAUACCAAGUAGGCCAGCGUUGAUGCGGUCCCGCAGAGCUGGCGGGUAGGUAGCACCGAGCUGAUCGGCGACGAUCAGCCAAGAGUAAUGGCGGUCACGAUUGCGUCUUCGAAAGAGGAGGCAAUCGACACAGAAUCCGGCUUACGGCGGACUUCACAC